RNAcentral lists this long non-coding RNA (1231 nucleotides) under Heterocephalus glaber (naked mole-rat). RNAcentral's name for it is "lncRNA (ENSHGLG00000045290.1)". Lineage: Eukaryota; Metazoa; Chordata; Mammalia; Rodentia; Bathyergidae. The record is from RNAcentral.
GAACAUAUAUGCACAGACCUACGAAAACCAUGUCCACUGCCCUUCAUCCUUGAGGAGGGGUCGGGCCAUCUGCGCCUGCGCAAAGAAGUGGUGCUGCAGCAGCCGCCAUCUUCCCGGGCCACACAAUGGCACAGACGCAGUUGCGAGGCCGCGCCAGCCUGAGGCGGCGGGAGCGCAAAUGACACAACCGGCAAGACCUAGAGGCAAAGAGCCCCGCUACCAGCUCGCGGGAGACCCCGGGCCAGCACCCCACAGCCCUGCGCCCCUGUGCUCCCGCUCUGCCCGCAGCGGGACCCCGCGCCCGCACUGGCCCGCCGGCCAUCCUCCCCACACGUAACCCCCAGAACCACCACGACCAGGCCGGCUCAGCCUGGCUCACGUGCUGGACGGCGCGCGGGUCACCCCAACGCCGGGCCAUUCUGGGGACCCGUCCCCGCAGACCUUCUACUCCUGAAGCCCAUACUCGGGGCACCCUGUGCCCACUGAGACCACUUCAGACCAAAGGACAAAGGCCCACCGAGCCAAGCCCUGUCGCCAGAGACCCACAGGCGGCACGAGGCGGCCUCGCCACUGCGGCAAGGAUCCGGCCGCUCCGGGAGAACCAUACAUAGUUCACCCGAGUCCUCCAAGGUGGAAAAGGCAGACUGUGGCCUGCACGGACGCGAAUUUCCGGGUUACGACCCGCGCGCACACACCUGGCUCGCUCCAUCGCGCCGCUGCCCGCUCCUCACUGCUCGCUGCCAGGCAUCGCCCGUCCCCGCCUCUGCGAACUGCUCACUGCCGCACUGCAGAACCCUCUGCGCGUGCGCGCGCUUUAUAGUGCGCAUGCGCCCAGCUGUAUCGAUGUGGGUGACGUAGGUCAGGGGUAAAGUGCUUCCUAGACAAAAUGAGGCCCUGGGUUCGAUCUCACUCCCCAAAAACAUGUCAGUAUGCAGUGGUUUUUGAUUUGCGAAAAUACUUCAGUUUCUAGCAGUUCAUUUUUACAUUUUCAUAGAGUAACAUGGACAGUUUACUCUGAUCUCGGGAGCCAGUAGAAAGUAAAACGUGAAAUUAAACUUUGAAAGCGAAUUAUGUAAAUGUUUGUUAGUAUGUUGAAAACAUUAUGAAAGAUACUCACCUCUGUAAUGAUGCAAAUCUUACAAUGAGACUCCUUUGAUUCAAAUUCUAUGAUGCGAGGCCGCACUGUUACCAUGGGCAGGUUACUCAGCGUUCUCUUCAGCGUUUUCCUCCU